This 497-nucleotide ribosomal RNA is filed under the name uncultured bacterium. RNAcentral describes it as "partial 16S ribosomal RNA". It matches the Rfam family "Bacterial small subunit ribosomal RNA", at positions 28 to 507 of the family's 1533-position model. The record is from RNAcentral.
GAUGAACGCUGGCGGCGUGCCUAAUACAUGCAAGUCGAGCGAACAGACGAGGAGCUUGCUCCUCUGACGUUAGCGGCGGACGGGUGAGUAACACGUGGAUAACCUACCUAUAAGACUGGGAUAACUUCGGGAAACCGGAGCUAAUACCGGAUAAUAUAUUUAACCGCAUGGUUCAAUAGUGAAAGACGGUUUUGCUGUCACUUAUAGAUGGAUCCGCGCCGCAUUAGCUAGUGGGUAAGGUAACGGCUUACCAAGGCAACGAUGCGUAGCCGACCUGAGAGGGGGAUCGGCCACACUGGAACUGAGACACGGUCCAGACUCCUACGGGAGGCAGCAGUAGGGAAUCUUCCGCAAUGGGCGAAAGCCUGACGGAGCAACGCCGCGUGAGUGAUGAAGGUCUUCGGAUCGUAAAACUCUGUUAUUAGGGAAGAACAAAUGUGUAAGUAACUAUGCACGUCUUGACGGUACCUAAUCAGAAAGCCACGGCUAACUACGUG